GAUUUCCUAUCCCCUAUUAUCUGUUUUGUAGAUUAUGUGUAUGUGGUAGAUGAUAAGCAUCUAUCUAGUAAUGUCACUACUAGUUUAUGUCAUGAUGAAAUUGACGAAACUGUCGCGUACACGGAUGAUAAUUUGAGAAAAUAAAAGUUAUUGAGUGUAACCAAAUGUGUUGGUGUGCUGUUGGUAUUGGAAAACACAUCUUCAAUAUAAAGUUGAGAGCAAUGAGUAAAGUUGAGGUCAGUGUGUAAAUUAAAAGGUUUGGAAAAUCAAAUGAGAAAGAUGAUUGAACCCCUUUUGAAUCCUUUGCUUAUUUUUGUGUUUGCGUAUUUCCGUGUGGUAAUUCUGCUUGAAAAUGUAAUUGCUUUUCCUAAUGAUUAUGAUUUUUUUUAACAAAAUAGUUACUCCCAAUUUCUUUGUACGUAACUCUCUUCGUCAAUUGUAAACCCCCGGUGUCUUAGGUGUAGUCGCAAUUGGCGAAUGUUUGAGCUAUCUUAAAAAUACUUAUCACAAUAAAUAAUACCUUAUUUUUACUGAUAUCAAAGGUUGAACAAUUAAGUGGUUCCAGUUGCAUCAGAUAGUGGUAGUAUUCAGACACAAUAUGGAUUCAAUUGGAUUAUUCGUCAAUAAUACAAAGCAUUACACAUAGACUUUAUUGAAUAAUAAUAAUCAAAAGGUUCACAAUUACAAUAAUUAAAACUCAACAAAUUACAUAAGUCACAUAAUUGUAGAGCAAGUUCAUCUAAUAGGGUUUAACCUAAGGGAUUUAGCUACUCUUGUUACAAGAAAUCAUAACAACAUAGAUAAGAAAUCUUCAGCUCCUAGCACUCCAAAGUAGCAAAAUCCAUGUCUGAAUUUUUACCGAAGAAAAUUAUGGAAUCGCACAAUCUCAUUGCACCAUGCAUCAGGUGCAGUGUAACUUGCAAGGAAUAUUAGCUUCAUGAAACAUAGCUAGAACUUGCUGAUUUCUUCAAAGUUAUUAUUUUCUUCCAAUCCUUUUGUCCAAGUUCCGCUCCAUUCUUGUCACCAUAAUUUCUACCAUGAAAACA
Molecule: long non-coding RNA, 1046 nt
Organism: Lathyrus oleraceus (garden pea)
Lineage: Eukaryota; Viridiplantae; Streptophyta; Magnoliopsida; Fabales; Fabaceae
Exons: 2
Source: RefSeq, a predicted model, not a curated record